RNAcentral lists this ribosomal RNA (253 nucleotides) under uncultured bacterium. RNAcentral's name for it is "partial 16S ribosomal RNA". It matches the Rfam family "Bacterial small subunit ribosomal RNA", at positions 524 to 776 of the family's 1533-position model. The record is from RNAcentral.
GACAGAGGGUGCAAACGUUGUUCGGAAUUACUGGGCGUAAAGCGCGUGUAGGCGGCUUUGUAAGUCGGAUGUGAAAUCCCGCGGCUCAACCGUGGAAGUGCACCCGAAACUACAUCGCUAGAGGAUCGGAGAGGAAAGUGGAAUGCUUGGUGUAGAGGUGAAAUUCGUAGAUAUCAAGCGGAACACCGGUGGCGAAGGCGGCUUUCUGGACGAUUUCUGACGCUGAGACGCGAAAGCGUGGGUAGCAAACAGG